Molecule: ribosomal RNA, 1049 nt
Filed under: Enterococcus sp.
Lineage: Bacteria; Bacillati; Bacillota; Bacilli; Lactobacillales; Enterococcaceae
Description: bacterial SSU rRNA
Rfam family: Bacterial small subunit ribosomal RNA
Source: RNAcentral
GGACGUGCGGGGCUAUAAUGCAGUCGAACGCUUCUUUUUCCACCGGAGCUUGCUCCACCGGAAAAAGAAGAGUGGCGAACGGGUGAGUAACACGUGGGUAACCUGCCCAUCAGAAGGGGAUAACACUUGGAAACAGGUGCUAAUACCGUAUAACAAUCGAAACCGCAUGGUUUUGAUUUGAAAGGCGCUUUCGGGUGUCGCUGAUGGAUGGACCCGCGGUGCAUUAGCUAGUUGGUGAGGUAACGGCUCACCAAGGCCACGAUGCAUAGCCGACCUGAGAGGGUGAUCGGCCACAUUGGGACUGAGACACGGCCCAAACUCCUACGGGAGGCAGCAGUAGGGAAUCUUCGGCAAUGGACGAAAGUCUGACCGAGCAACGCCGCGUGAGUGAAGAAGGUUUUCGGAUCGUAAAACUCUGUUGUUAGAGAAGAACAAGGAUGAGAGUAACUGUUCAUCCCUUGACGGUAUCUAACCAGAAAGCCACGGCUAACUACGUGCCAGCAGCCGCGGUAAUACGUAGGUGGCAAGCGUUGUCCGGAUUUAUUGGGCGUAAAGCGAGCGCAGGCGGUUUCUUAAGUCUGAUGUGAAAGCCCCCGGCUCAACCGGGGAGGGUCAUUGGAAACUGGGAGACUUGAGUGCAGAAGAGGAGAGUGGAAUUCCAUGUGUAGCGGUGAAAUGCGUAGAUAUAUGGAGGAACACCAGUGGCGAAGGCGGCUCUCUGGUCUGUAACUGACGCUGAGGCUCGAAAGCGUGGGGAGCAAACAGGAUUAGAUACCCUGGUAGUCCACGCCGUAAACGAUGAGUGCUAAGUGUUGGAGGGUUUCCGCCCUUCAGUGCUGCAGCUAACGCAUUAAGCACUCCGCCUGGGGAGUACGACCGCAAGGUUGAAACUCAAAGGAAUUGACGGGGGCCCGCACAAGCGGUGGAGCAUGUGGUUUAAUUCGAAGCAACGCGAAGAACCUUACCAGGUCUUGACAUCCUUUGACCACUCUAGAGAUAGAGCUUCCCCUUCGGGGGCAAAGUGACAGGUGGUGCAUGGUUGUCGUCAG